Molecule: ribosomal RNA, 279 nt
Filed under: uncultured bacterium
Lineage: Bacteria
Description: partial 16S ribosomal RNA
Rfam family: Bacterial small subunit ribosomal RNA
Source: RNAcentral
UGCCAGCCGCCGCGGUAAUACGGAGGGUGCAAGCGUUAUCCGGAAUCACUGGGUUUAAAGGGUGCGUAGGCGGAAUAAUAAGUCAGAGGUGAAAGCCCGUCGCUUAACGAUGGAAUUGCCUUUGAUACUGUUAUUCUUGAAUUAGGUUGAGGUAGGCGGAAUGUGGCAUGUAGCGGUGAAAUGCAUAGAUAUGCCAUAGAACACCAAUUGCGAAGGCAGCUUACUAGACCUUAAUUGACGCUGAGGCACGAAAGCGUGGGGAGCGAACAGGAUUAGAUA